CCUACGGGAGGCAGCAGUGAGGAAUAUUGGUCAAUGGAGGCAACUCUGAACCAGCCAUGCCGCGUGAAGGAUGACGGCUCUAUGGGUUGUAAACUUCUUUUAUAUGGGAAGAAACUUAUCUACGUGUAGAUAACUGACGGUACCAUACGAAUAAGGAUCGGCUAACUCCGUGCCAGCAGCCGCGGUAAUACGGAGGAUCCAAGCGUUAUCCGGAUUCAUUGGGUUUAAAGGGUCCGUAGGCGGAUUUUUAAGUCAGUGGUGAAAGCCGACAGCUCAACUGUCGAACUGCCAUUGAUACUGGAGAUCUUGAGUACAAAUGAAGUAGGCGGAAUGAGUCAUGUAGCGGUGAAAUGCAUAGAUAUGACUCAGAACACCAAUUGCGAAGGCAACUUACUAACAUGUAACUGACGCUGAGGGACGAAAGCGUGGGGAGCGAACAGGAUUAGAUACCCUGGUAGUCCACGCCGUAAACGAUCAUCACUCGCUGUUGGCGAUAUACAGUCAGCGGCCAAGCGAAAGUAUUAAGUGAUGCACCUGGGGAGUACGCCGGCAACGGUGAAACUCAAAGGAAUUGACGG
This 578-nucleotide ribosomal RNA is filed under the name uncultured bacterium. RNAcentral describes it as "bacterial SSU rRNA". It matches the Rfam family "Bacterial small subunit ribosomal RNA", at positions 338 to 916 of the family's 1533-position model. The record is from RNAcentral.